Molecule: long non-coding RNA, 1696 nt
Filed under: Physcomitrium patens
Lineage: Eukaryota; Viridiplantae; Streptophyta; Bryopsida; Funariales; Funariaceae
Description: long non-coding RNA (PPAT_LNC004860)
Source: RNAcentral
UGUGCCAAGACUAAUAUAUUUUUCUCUAUCUUUGUUUCUAAUAACAUGCCAUAAAACUUGAACUCAUCUCUUUUUAUUUAAAAUAUUGUAGAAUAACAUGCAUGGUUGUGCUAUUUCACGCAUAGUGUGUUGGUGAGAGAGAAUUAAGUAUUGGUAGCCAUUUGUCACUGGAGUGUCUCUAUAUGCUUGCUAGCAUGAAUUCUUUGUGAAAGCGUGAAAUCGGUAUAAUGAAAUGAAUGAUAUUAGUAGCACAUAGUGCAAUGAUCCAGGGGAGUGUAGGCCAUUAGGCCACUAGUGCUACCAAUGGCUUUGUGUGAAUUCUCGUCGCGGCCAUGGAAUGGAAGCAUUUCUAGGAUUUUGUUAGAGUGGGGCGGGGAGAUGUGAGGUGGAUUGCGUUGGGAGGUCGAGGAAUGCGAGCAAUUUCAGAAGCGUAGGGUUUUGACUCUUCGCGCACUGAAGUGAGUACGUCGCCGCUGUUCGUUGCAGUGGUGUGAAGUUGAAGUGCAGGAGUUGGAUUUUUAUGAGGUGGGUUUGAGGGUUUGGUGGCUUCUAAGUGAAGUGGAUGCCAAAGUUUAGAUUUUUCCCAGGUAUUGUUGCUGCAAUGGACGUCCUUGGCCAAAAUCUGUGACCCUAAGGGUUUUAUUACGGCGAACGGUAGCUUAGGGUGCAGUCUCAAGUAAUCAUACGCUGACUUUUGUUUUUAGGAUUUUUUUGUCGUGGUUGAAUGUGAAAAAAUUGGGAACUAGUGUUGUGGUGGGCGAGAGAUGAGGAUGAGGUGAAAGUUGAGGUUGCCGUUUUGGCACCUCAUGUGAAGCGGGUGGAGGGAACUGAAGUGAAUAAGAGAGCUUUUAAGGUUAGUCGGAUCAGUUGAGAGAGCGGUGGUGAGAACAGUAGACAAUCAGAUAUGGUGGAGGAGAUGAUUGGUGAGAGAUGAUGGUUUGUGGCAUGAGAAGAGUCAUGGUGUCAGUAAUUAGUUGUAGAAGCUUUGGGUUGGAGAUUGUAUCACGUCUUGGAUUAUCUCAUAGAAUGACUGACCAAAGUGGCACCAAACAGCAAUGAGGUAUGCGUGUGUUAAAGAGCUGUGAAAGGUUGGGAUGAUUGGUACGAUUCAAGUGUAGGUUUAAGACUAAAGAACCAAUCUAAGAUCUAAACAAGGCUCUCGGACCUGAACCUGAGAAAAUAAAGAUUUGGGGAGCUUGCAGUGAAACAGAUGUCAUUUUGGAUGGUUUAUAACUCGCAAGUAUGUAUAUUUGGUUAAUUAUUUUGGUUGGAUUUGUUCAUUUGUUUGUCUCUUACAAAAGGGGGAUAUGUUGUAGGGAUUUUUAUAAUUUGGUUUAUACCUGUACCUGGAUGGAUGAAUUUUGAAGGUUGUGUUGUGUUUGCAACAAAGACAAAAACUUGCUCCAAUUUAGUAUCUGAUAGAAGAAUGCAUCGCGAAGCUAUUUGACGACGUCCUCUUCUCUGAACAGUCUUAGCCAAGAUCCGUGGUUAAUGCGUACACAUGAUUGAUGUUAUGCUUAGAGCGGAAGAGCAUACGUGAGGAUUCGAGGCUGUACUGUGCACUGUACGGAUAAUCUUGCAAGUGAAACAAACAUGAGAUUUGUGCAAGCAGAUAUUUGACAAUUUUUGAAGCAAUGUGUUGAUUGGGGGUGGAAUUUCUGAAAGUAGGAGCCGCUUGAUAUUAGUUUUUACCACA